Molecule: ribosomal RNA, 738 nt
Filed under: uncultured bacterium
Lineage: Bacteria
Description: bacterial SSU rRNA
Rfam family: Bacterial small subunit ribosomal RNA
Source: RNAcentral
GCCCGAUCGCCCUUGAGUUUGAUCUGGCUCAGGAUGAACGCUAGCGGCAGGCCUAAUACAUGCAAGUCGGACGGGAUAGGAGAGCUUGCUUUCCUUGAGAGUGGCGCACGGGUGCGUAACACGUAUGUAACCUACCUUGAUCAGGGGGAUAGCCUCUCGAAAGAGAGAUUAAGACCGCAUAACAUUGAGAUGCAGCAUUGCAAUUCAAUCAAAUAUUUAUAGGAUCAAGAUGGGCAUGCGGAACAUUAGCUAGUUGGUGUGGUAACGGCAUACCAAGGCUACGAUGUUUAGGGGAUCUGAGAGGAUGACCCCCCACACUGGUACUGAGACACGGACCAGACUCCUACGGGAGGCAGCAGUAAGGAAUAUUGGUCAAUGGGCGGAAGCCUGAACCAGCCAUGCCGCGUGCAGGAAGACGGCCCUACGGGUUGUAAACUGCUUUUGCAGGGGAAUAAACCUCGAUACGUGUAUCGAGCUGAAUGUACUCUGAGAAUAAGGAUCGGCUAACUCCGUGCCAGCAGCCGCGGUAAUACGGAGGAUCCAAGCGUUAUCCGGAUUUAUUGGGUUUAAAGGGUGCGUAGGUGGUUUUUUAAGUCAGGAGUGAAAGACGGCAGCUUAACUGUCGCAGUGCCUUUGAUACUGAAGAACUUGAAUUAACUAGAGGUAGGCGGAAUGUGACAAGUAGCGGUGAAAUGCAUAGAUAUGUCACAGAACACCAAUUGCGAAGGCAGCUUACUA